AUGAUUGUCGAAGACGAGCGAGACACAUAUGCUGAUAAUUUUGAUUACGACCACAUUAAUAAUAAUUUAUCCACAAUUGAAAUAUCUACUGGUCCUGAUCCCAAUUUAACAAUAUUGUUUAAAAAGAUAUCACAUGUUCAUCAAAGGAAAAAUCAUCGCCAACUUCAAGCAGACUUGGUGGAGCAUAUUUGGGAGAGAUUUGGUCAUGAGAAUAACGAAAGUUAA
Molecule: non-coding RNA, 225 nt
Organism: Vicia faba (fava bean)
Lineage: Eukaryota; Viridiplantae; Streptophyta; Magnoliopsida; Fabales; Fabaceae
Source: the annotation of a GenBank genome assembly